This is a non-coding RNA of Leptonychotes weddellii (Weddell seal), 3840 nucleotides long. NCBI's taxonomy places the organism in Eukaryota, Metazoa, Chordata, Mammalia, Carnivora, Phocidae. The record is from RefSeq and is a predicted model, not a curated record.
GGAUCAUGACCUGAGCUGAAGGCAGAUGCUUAACAACUGAGCCACCCAGACGCCCCUAACCAGUGUUCUUGAUGAUCUCUCAGUAAAGCAAAGCACUCUAAAUGUCUUAAUAUCAUGAUUUUUUUCAGGGUAUUGAUAGCUUAUUUUGUCGUAAACUUUAAAUGACAGUUUGAAAAGUGAGAUGGUAAAUGGUUUUAUCUAGGCUUCAUUAGUCAUAAAGCAGACAACCACUUGGAUUUAUGGUUAAAUGAUCUUUUUUGCUUUUUUUAGGUGUGUAGUAUGCAUGUGUGAUUUUGAGUCAAGGCAGCUACUUAGAGUUUUACCCUGUAACCACGAGUUCCAUGCCAAGUGUGUCGACAAAUGGCUUAAGGCAAAUCGUACUUGCCCAAUCUGCCGAGCUGAUGCUUCAGAAGUGCAUCGGGAUUCAGAAUGACCAAUCUAAGAGCACAAAUUUAGUUUGGGUGUUCCUCAUCACAUGUAUAUACGAACUAUCCAUUGAACUUAAUCUGUGUGGCUUCCAGCCCUCCCUUUACCAAAAGGGUCAAUGGACCUUUCUUUGCACUGUGUGACUUAAUCAACUAUAAAAGCUUACAAUUAGUCUUCACAAUUAUGGGAUUGUUAUACUAACCGUGUGAUUGGAACUCCAAAGACUUUUUCUUUAGCUUAAUUUUGUGUGUGCACUAACAUUCCCUGGUUUUUGUGUGAUCAUUCCGAGUGUUGCUGCAAGAUUACAGUGGACGUGAUCUUUUAGCAUGUGCUUUUAUAAAAAGUGGUAGCUCCAGAUGAUAUAGCAAUCUACCUUAUAUAGAGCCUUCAGAAACUGUGAGUGGAAAUGAAUGCAGUGUAUGACUGUUGGUGAUAAAUGUAUCUGUGUGUGGGAGAGAGUGUGCGCAACUACUUGUGUGAGGGCAUGGUAGCUAAUGUGUGUAUGAGAUCCUAUAUACCAGCAUGUACCAAGAAUGUGUGUGUAGUUUUAAUUAUGCUGCAAUGUAUAAUCUGGUGUGUUAUUUAAACAGCACUAGUACUGUACACUGGUUUUUUCCCUUGUGUUUGCUGUUGCACACUGAUUGCUAAGGGUGCAUCAAUGAUAAGCAUUGAAUACUCCAUCCCUUCCCUCCCAGUGAAUGGAAUGAGAAAAGCCUUCUUCCUUUGCUUCAGGCAGCUGUCACCUUCUCUUCGUUGGUGGUCCCAAGUGGGUCACUUAAGAAAAAAAGUGUAACAGAUUUCUCACUCCAUGAACCGGAUUUUUUGAUUCUGUUGUGGAAAAAAAAAAAUUUUUUUUUUUUAAUCUCCAACUUGCUGUUUCCAAAAAGAAGGUGCAAUAUCAUACGUCAUCAGUUAGCAAUAUUAGCAUUUCAAUCAGUGAUUUGAAUGUUGAUACUUUCUUGUUUUUUCCUUUACAUUUCCAGUAAGCUUCUUAGAGGAAGUACCUGUGAUUUUUUUUUUUUUUUAAUGUUUAGGAUUGUAGUCUAUUCUGAAUAUAUUUGAGUAAUAUAUUUCUAAGAAUAUCGCUGGUCCCAUGAAGUCUCACCUCCUUUACUUCCACCAGAACAAAAUCUGUUAGCUAAUUCAGCUUGACUUCUGAUACGUUCUUUGUUAAGCUCUCAUAGGCAACUAAAUUGUUUUAAGAAACUGUAUUUCUGUUUGUAUCGAUUCACCUGCCAACCUCCAAUUCUGAAAGUUGUCUAGUUCUUCCCUCAGUAAAUGUGCUUCUCAUGGAAACCCUCAUUUCCAGGAUGGAUCAAGUGCUGUGACAGCUCGAAUUCUUAGACCUGAUGUGCUUCGAUGUUUUAUUGCUUUUUAAAAAAAUUUUUGUUUGAAUGAGAAAAAUUUAAUAUAACAGGUCCAGAAUACUUGCAGUAUAAAUGAAGAUUUGAUUUUUUGUAUAAAAAAUAAUGCUGUAAAACAGGAAUUGACCUUCAUUUAGUUGAUCUGAAAUAAUACAUAGCUGUGUGGGGUUUUUUUAUAGGUCCAUUGAGCAUCAUUUAGAUUGUUUAAAGUCAUUUUUCCAGCAAUGUUUUGAUUCCUCCCUCGUUCUUUAUUGUCUUCAACAUUGUCUGUCUCUUCCUGCAGUUGAGGUCAUUGCUUUGUUUGCAGUAGCGCAAGCUGCAUAAUCCCAGUCAGGACUGUGAUGACUUGCUGCCAGCCUCACUCAGCUUUCAGUUGGCUCUGUGUCAGUUUUCUACUCAGUGUUAACUACUUGUUACUGCCAUGCUACUUGCCUUCCCUUGAAGUCUCUAUAAGCUCAUCCCAGCUUAGAGUUCAGUAAAGUCAAUUCUCACAGAAGCACAAUUUUGCCCUUUUCCAGACACUGUUGCCUCUAUCUAGUCAGACAAAUAGGAUUUUGCACACUUUCUGUUUGCCCCUGUAUUUGUCAGUGCAUCAGAAAUACAUCUCAACAGUGCUAAGGUGCACAUGUUACUUUUCAAUCAUUAGAACGUUCCCCACCUGUUCCUGAUGAAUAAAAAGCGUGUUGAAGACCAAAAUUAUUGGCAUAGGCAUAAUAAUCAGCUACAUUAUGAAUCACGUAUAGUUUGAUCUUUAUUUUUUUUAAUUAUAAAAAAUCAUGUUUAAAAUGGCAAAAGCCCAUCUUAUACAUAGACUCUUUUAUAUAGCUGCAAAAAAUUUAUAUCUGUACAGAUCUAACAUAACACUACUACACUCAGUAUUCAUUUUAUUGAAGCAUGCAAGUAAAGCACUUUUUCUAAUUUAUAUAGAUACCUAAUUAACAAGGCACAUUGUACUAAUGACUAGGAAAAAUAGCUCUUUCUUCCCUCCCUCUUACGAUGAAUUCUUGUCAUAAUAUCCCUUUUCCACCAAAUUUUCGAGAGGCAGUUGGCAAUUUAGGAGGCAGCAGGGUCUAUUUUGGUAAAAUCCUGAAGUAAUGUUGCACUCUUGUGACUGAUCUCUCUUUGGGAAUGUCUUUCUUUGCAUGGGGCCCUUAGAGAUGUGUACAGAUUUGCUUAUUAAGUGGUUAGUGUGUAUUAGGAGCAUACAUUGCAUGUGUUCUGAACCAGCUCAGACUAGCCACUGUGAGCAACUUCAUGGCUAGCAAAAGAAAGAAUAGUUGAUUCAUGCCCAGCUGUUGUCACCUUGAGCGAUGCACCAGAUAGCAGGCAGAUGUUGGUUUGUUGCCUUCUUCCUCUUUUCUCCUAAAACAAUAUUGGCUUUACCAUCUUAACUCUGCUGUGGGGUUUCAUUUUGUGUUGUUUUGCAUGAAUUAUCAUUUUUGAAUUAUUUUAGCGUGCUCCCCCCCCCAAUAGAACAAAAAAAAAACAAGUCAAGGCCUCCAGGUAUCAAGAUCUCAUUAGGAUUUUCUGUCCUGAAUUUUUUUGAGCAAAAUCUGGAAAAUGUGAAAGCAUAUUUAGAUUUUAUACACUCUCUGAAAUGUGAUUUAUUAAGAUUCUUAAAUCUGGGCCUCUUACAGUAUUUUGAAUGAGAUCUACCAACUCAAAGAGAAUAUUUUUCACAGAUAUCUUUAGGCCUUCAUUAGAAAGCUAUUUCCCCCCCUGUUGGUACAUUUGGUUACCUCAUUUUGCUGUUUGUUUCAGAUUAUGAAAGCUUACAGGGGUGUUUUUUGGAAUCAUUUGCUGAGUCAUUUCCUCAAAUCAUAUUCCAUUGUAUCGGUUAACAUAUAGUUUUAAAUGUACGUAUUAUAAAUAUCUGUAACCAAAUCAUUUGAAGGCUUGAUAAAUUUUUAACAAAGUUUGUACAUUUUUUAUGAAAGUUACUAGUAAUGCUUUACUAAGUAGUGCAAUGAAUUUUUAUUUUUAAUCCCUGUGCCCAAUUUUGGAGUUGAGAGGGUUGUUGGUAAUAAAUGUAUGAUGUACACUUAAAACA